Molecule: non-coding RNA, 96 nt
Organism: Mycena vulgaris
Lineage: Eukaryota; Fungi; Basidiomycota; Agaricomycetes; Agaricales; Mycenaceae
Source: the annotation of a GenBank genome assembly
GCUCUGGUAGCUCAGUUGGAAGAGCGAUGCCAACUGAUUAUAUGGAUUUGACAAUUAUUUCAGGCACUGGUGCAUGUUCGAAUCAUGCCCAGAGCA